GACGUAGGUGGCGAACGUUAUCCGGAAUUAUUGGGCGUAAAGGGUGCGCAGAUGGUCUGACAAGUUAGCAGUGGGAAAUCGAGGCUCAACCUCGUGGAAGCUGGUAAUACUGUCUGACUCGAGUACAGGAGAGGUUAACGGAACUCCAUGUGGAGCGGUAAAAUGUGUAGAUAUAUGGAUGAACACCAAUAACGGCGAAGGCAGUUAACUAUUCUGUUACUGACAUUGAGGCACGAAAGCGUGGGGAGCAAAACGG
RNAcentral lists this ribosomal RNA (256 nucleotides) under uncultured bacterium. RNAcentral describes it as "partial 16S ribosomal RNA". It matches the Rfam family "Bacterial small subunit ribosomal RNA", at positions 524 to 776 of the family's 1533-position model. The record is from RNAcentral.